Molecule: ribosomal RNA, 253 nt
Filed under: uncultured bacterium
Lineage: Bacteria
Description: partial 16S ribosomal RNA
Rfam family: Bacterial small subunit ribosomal RNA
Source: RNAcentral
UACAGAGGUCCCGAGCGUUGUUCGGAUUCAUUGGGCGUAAAGGGUGCGUAGGCGGCGAGCUAAGUUUGGUGUGAAAUCCUGGGGCUUAACCUCAGAAUUGCACUGAAUACUGGUUUGCUAGAGGACUGGAGAGGAGAUUGGAAUUCACGGUGUAGCAGUGAAAUGCGUAGAUAUCGUGAGGAAGACCAGUGGCGAAAGCGAAUCUCUGGACAGAUCCUGACGCUGAUGCACGAAGGCUAGGGGAGCAAACGGG